GACAGAGGAGCCAAGCGUUGUCCGGAUUGACUGGGCGUAAAGCGCACGCAGGCGGGUGCGCGCGUGGGGUGUGAAACCUGGCCGCUUAACGGCCAGCGGCCAUCCCAUACGGCGCGCCUGGAGCCUUGCAGAGGGCGGUGGAAUUGCCGGUGUAGUGGUGAAAUGCGUAGAGAUCGGCAGGAACACCCAGGGAGGAAAUCAGCCGCC
Molecule: ribosomal RNA, 207 nt
Filed under: uncultured bacterium
Lineage: Bacteria
Description: partial 16S ribosomal RNA
Rfam family: Bacterial small subunit ribosomal RNA
Source: RNAcentral